UGCCAAGUAGUAGCCAGCAGUUGCCUU
Molecule: non-coding RNA, 27 nt
Filed under: Rattus norvegicus (Norway rat)
Lineage: Eukaryota; Metazoa; Chordata; Mammalia; Rodentia; Muridae
Source: RNAcentral